CGCCCCGCGCCGCUCCUGCCCGCGCUGCGCCUGCGGGGCCGCGGCUGCGGCAGCUCCCCGGCCAUGGCCAGGAGGAGGCCCCGGGGAGCGGAGCCUUCCCCUCGGGUACAGACCAGCAUGGAGUACAGGGGGUAAAUGGCUCCUUCUCUUCAGGCACCAUGGAAAAUCCUCAGCGAUGGAGGACGGGGCAGUGCCAGCUGGCCGAAGAUCAAUGAAGCCGUGAUUUGGAUUUCUCCUCCCACAGCGGUUCAUGCUCUGCCAGAGCUUCACCGCCAGGGCCGGGCCGCAAUUACAACAACUUGGACAAGCAAAGUCUACCCUCCAGUGGGGACAUCACCAGUGCCAUCACUGGGACAUCAAACCUCAUCACCAAUGCCAUCAUUAGGACAUCAAAUCCUAUCAUCAGCUCCUCCAGAGGAACAGUGGGAGAUGCUCCAUAAUCUGGUUCCUUGAAGAAAGUCUCCCAUGAUCUCCUUUCUGUCCUGGUUUUUAUUCCCCAUCUCUCUUAAGCCUUUGUUGUCACACCAGGAGACCUCUCUCCGUGAUAGGUGGACACCUGCCGGUAGCCGGCAGACACCUUAGAGUCACUGCGGCAGGGACGUGAAGAAAAUGGAUGUAAUUUGCAUAAGAGGAGCACAGAGCUCAUCAGAGUCUCACCCCAAAUGCUGGAUCCCACCGCUGCCUCGGGGACAAGGUCUUGGCAAGGAUGGAGGAAAUUCCUGAUCUUCCAAACAAAGUUUCAGUAUCUCUGGAGCUGAAGAGUUGCUGUGAGCUGCUCCCAGCAGAAAUUUGAAUGUGCACAAGCAGAAGGAGAUUUCUUUCAUUAGCUCUGAGGCUUGACCACGCAGGAAGCCCUUUGCUUUGACUGUCCUUUGGCAUCCAGAGCAGCAGCAGGAGGAGAAGACAGGACUGGUCCUCCAGCCAGCUUGCUGAUCGAUGUUUUCACAAAGCUGCCUGUCUUGGGGCUGCUGGGGAGGAGCUUUGCCACUAACACCGGGAGACACUGGUCCCUCUGUGACAGGAGUCACAGAAUCAACCAGAUUAAAGACCAGACGGACUCCAGGUGAAGACUUCCAAAGGUUUUGGUUGGCACAACUUUGCCAUUGGCCCUGCUCCAGCAGCAAGAGGGGCUGUUACAUGUUGCUUCUCCAGUAAAGUGGCAGCUACAGGACUUAAUUCAACGUGAACGUGGGCGUGACACACACGACAAGGAACCCAGCGGAAAGAAAAGCUGGGCUGGAGCAGGAUGGGCUGGGAUGGCAGGAGGAGAUUGGGACUUCUUUGAUGUGAGUUGAUAAUUUGAGCUGGUUGGCAUCUCCUCCUCCACACUGCCCUUUUCAAGACCCAGCAACGGUCAGCUCCCAAGAUGGGUUCGGCUGCCGGUCUUGGAUGGUGCCAUGGCAUCAUCCUCCUCACAGUCCCUUCCCAGGCCAUCUCCAGGUCCAAUAUUGUGGGGCAGGAGCAGCACCCCAUGUCAAUCAGCAAAAAAAGGUAUCCUGAGAAAUAGCGAAAGUGUACAGACUCAUGGAAUCCAGGGAGACGCGCCCCUUUCCCAGGC
Long non-coding RNA from Pogoniulus pusillus (Red-fronted tinkerbird), 1558 nucleotides. RefSeq lists it as uncharacterized. The transcript has 9 exons. Lineage: Eukaryota; Metazoa; Chordata; Aves; Piciformes; Lybiidae. The record is from RefSeq and is a predicted model, not a curated record.